GCGGGUAUAGCUCAGUGGUUGAGCGCCUGCUUCCAAUGUAUGAGGUCCUGGGUUCAAUCCCCAGUACCUCCU
RNAcentral lists this transfer RNA (72 nucleotides) under Dasypus novemcinctus (nine-banded armadillo). RNAcentral's name for it is "tRNA-Trp (CCA) (tRNA-Trp-CCA-9-1)". It matches the Rfam family "tRNA". Rfam says of the family: Transfer RNA (tRNA) molecules are approximately 80 nucleotides in length. Their secondary structure includes four short double-helical elements and three loops (D, anti-codon, and T loops). Further hydrogen bonds mediate the characteristic L-shaped molecular structure. tRNAs have two regions of fundamental functional importance: the anti-codon, which is responsible for specific mRNA codon recognition, and the 3' end, to which the tRNAs corresponding amino acid is attached (by aminoacyl-tRNA synthetases). tRNAs cope with the degeneracy of the genetic code in two manners: having more than one tRNA (with a specific anti-codon) for a particular amino acid; and 'wobble' base-pairing, i.e. permitting non-standard base-pairing at the 3rd anti-codon position. Lineage: Eukaryota; Metazoa; Chordata; Mammalia; Cingulata; Dasypodidae. The record is from RNAcentral.